AGAUUGAACGCUGGCGGCAGGCCUAACACAUGCAAGUCGAGCGGUAGAGAGGUGCUUGCACCUCUUGAGAGCGGCGGACGGGUGAGUAAUGCCUAGGAAUCUGCCUAGUGGUGGGGGAUAACGUUCGGAAACGGACGCUAAUACCGCAUACGUCCUACGGGAGAAAGCGGGGGACCUUCGGGCCUCGCGCCAUUAGAUGAGCCUAGGUCGGAUUAGCUAGUUGGUGAGGUAAUGGCUCACCAAGGCGACGAUCCGUAACUGGUCUGAGAGGAUGAUCAGUCACACUGGAACUGAGACACGGUCCAGACUCCUACGGGAGCAGCAGUGGGAAUAUUGGACAAUGGGCGAAAGCCUGAUCCAGCCAUGCCGCGUGUGUGAAGAAGGUCUUCGGAUUGUAAAGCACUUUAGUGUUGGGAGAAGGCAAGUUACCUAAUACGUAUCUGUUUUGACGUUACGACAGAAUAAGCACGCUAACUCUGUGCAGCACG
This 488-nucleotide ribosomal RNA is filed under the name uncultured soil bacterium. Its description in RNAcentral is "bacterial SSU rRNA". It matches the Rfam family "Bacterial small subunit ribosomal RNA", at positions 26 to 515 of the family's 1533-position model. The record is from RNAcentral.